Molecule: ribosomal RNA, 808 nt
Filed under: uncultured bacterium
Lineage: Bacteria
Description: bacterial SSU rRNA
Rfam family: Bacterial small subunit ribosomal RNA
Source: RNAcentral
AGAGUUUGAUCAUGGCUCAGGAUGAACGCUAGCGAUAGGCUUAACACAUGCAAGUCGAGGGGCAGCAUUAUCUUAGCUUGCUAAGGUAGAUGGCGACCGGCGGAUGGGUGCGUAACGCGUAUGCAACUUGCCUCUGAGCGGGGGAUAACCCGGAGAAAUUCGGACUAAUACCGCGUAUGCUCACGGCAUCGCAUGAUGCAGUGAGGAAAGAUUUAUUACUCAGAGAUAGGCAUGCGUUCCAUUAGGUCGUUGGUGAGGCAACGGCUCACCAAGCCGACGAUGGAUAGGGGAGCUGAGAGGCCAACCCCCCACACUGGGACUGAGACACGGCCCAGACUCCUACGGGAGGCAGCAGUGAGGAAUAUUGGUCAAUGGAGGAAACUCUGAACCAGCCAAGUCGCGUGAAGGAAGACGGUCCUAUGGAUUGUAAACUUCUUUAGUAGGUGAAUAGAGGCAUGUACGUGUACAUGUAGGCAGGUAACCUAAGAAUAAGUAUCGGCUAACUCCGUGCCAGCAGCCGCGGUAAUACGGAGGAUACGAGCGUUAUCCGGAUUUAUUGGGUUUAAAGGGUGCGUAGGUUGCUGAUUAAGUCAGCGGUGAAAAGCUGUGGCUCAACCAUAGUCUUGCCGUUGAAACUGGUUAGCUAGAGUACAGAUGCUGUGGGCGGAAUGCGUAGUGUAGCGGUGAAAUGCAUAGAUAUUACGCAGAACUCCAAUUGCGAAGGCAGCUCACAAAACUGACACUGACACUGAUGCACGAAAGCGUGGGGAUCAAACAGGAUUAGAUACCCUGGUAGUCCACGCCGUAA